Molecule: long non-coding RNA, 2292 nt
Organism: Homo sapiens (human)
Lineage: Eukaryota; Metazoa; Chordata; Mammalia; Primates; Hominidae
Gene: THUMPD3-AS1
Product: THUMPD3 antisense RNA 1
Source: Ensembl
GCUCCGGCUCCUCAGAGAGCCUCGGCUAGGUGUGGAAACAGGAAGAGAACUAGAACUGGAAGUAAAGCAUUGAAGAUGUGACUGAAUUGCUGCAAUCUCAUGAUCAAAUUUGAAUGGAUGAGGAGUUGCUUUUUAGGGAUGAGCAAAGAAAGUGGUUUCUCGAGAUGGAAUCUACUGGUGAAGUUGCUGUGAACAUUGUUAAAAUGCCAAUAAAGGAUUUAGGAAUUACAGAAACCUGGUUGAUAAAGCAGUGCCAGGGUGUGAGAGAGUUGACUUCAAUUUUGAAAUAAGUUCCACUGGCUGGGUGUGGUGGCUCACACCUGCAAUCCCAGUACUUUAGGAGGCCGAGACUGGUAGAUCAUUUGAGGUCAGGAGUUCAAGACCAGCCUUGCCAACAUGGUGAAACCCCACCUCUACCAAAUUAGCCAGGUGUGGUGCACACCUGUAGUCCCAGCUACUUGGGAAGCUGAGGCAGGAGAAUCUCUUGAACCAGGGAGGAGGAGGUUGCAGUAAGCCGAGAUGGCGCCCCUGCACUCCAGCCUGGGUGACAGAGUGAGACCUUGCGUUUAAAAAAAAAAAAAAAGGAAAAGGAAAAAAAAGUUCUACUGUGGGUAAAAUGCUAUCAUGCUAUCAAACAGCAUCACAUGCUACAGAGAAGUCUUGUGAAAGGAUGUCAGUGUGGCAAACUUCAUUGUCUUUUAAGAAAUUGCCACAGCUAUCGUAAUCUUCAACCACCACCACCCUGAUGAGUUGCUCCUUGAGGGCAGGACAGUUCUUAUGGCUUUAUCCGUUGCGUAAGCACAGAGAGGUCUGCGAGGUCAAAACUAUUGUCAUGAUAGCAAGAUGCCUGUCUUUUUCAUUUAUUCUCACGGUGUGCAGAGGCUACAUGAUGUGUGAUGACAUCCUCAUUGAUGUUAAUGAAUGGUGCUAUACUUGAAUUUUCUAAGGUGUCAUUAGGUAGGUUUAGGUAUGCAUACUUGUUUUUAGAAAUUAUUUUUUUCCUUUUUCCCAUUUUUAGAAAUCAACUCAUUUUUUAGGUUAUGCCUUCAGUAAUCUUUGCAACCUCAAUAUUGUGUAAUGGUUACUUUAAAAUACUGUAGUUUUCUUUGUGCCUAAGUAUAAACAUAAGUACAUUUUGUUGUUUUGUUUGCAAUAGUGGUUUAAAUAUUUUCCCAAAAUAUCCAAAUUUAAAAAUUCUACAACUUUAGAAUUUAAUAAAUUUAUUCUAAAAUAUUUAUAUAUUUUUUCAUUUAAGAAUGGAUCGGCUUAAAAAGACUGCUUCUCAUUUACUUACUGGCUAUACCAUCUGUAUACUAAUAAAAAACAAGAUUUGAUUUGGAAGGACUGACUCAAACUAACGAAAAUAUGAAACCUGUCUUUCUGCUUUGGAGAUAUUUACCUAAUCAUGUUCUGCAGUAGAAUAAUUUAGUUCUUUUGUCUUUUUUUGGAGAUGAGGUCUUGCUGUGUUGCCCAGGCUAUUCACAGCUGCCAUCAUAGUGAACUACAGCCUGAAACUCCUGGGUUCAAGAGAUCCUUCUGCCUCAGCCUCCUGAGUAGCUGGAACUAUAGGCAUGCGCCACCAAGCCUGGGCUUUUAAAAAAAUUUUAAAAAGAAUUUUGAGACAGGAUCUUGCCAUGUUGCUCAGGCUAGUCUUCAACUCCUAGCCCUGAGUGAUCUUGCUUUGGGCCUCUCAAAAUGUUGAGUUAAUAGGCGUGAGCCACCAUACCCAGCCAAAAAUUUUUUUAGAGAUGGGAAUGGAAUGAUCUUGAAUAGUGUUGGUGCCACCUAUGUUGUGGCAUCAUUUUGAAACCAAUCAUUCAGAGUGCUUUUUUUGGUAAGGCAUUAUUUUUUAAUGCAGGUAUGCCACUACUGGGAAAAAAAAAAAAACAGGUUUUAAAGCUAGAAAUGAAAAGCUACUUAAGUAUCUUAAAGGAUAAGUUACUUUAUUAUACACUAGAAACAUACACAAUAGCUGAAAAACUUAAAAAAUCUCACACUGCUGAAUGUCUCUGCUGGCUGAAGUGUAAGUAAAAGAUCAUAGUAGUGCCGCUGUUGAGUGAUAAAGCAACUUGUCAUUAAAGAUGUGUGUGCAGACAUGGAUUCUGAGUUAAUAUCUCAUCUGUAGAAGUAUAUAUUUGUCCCUUGCUUUGGGAUUGGUUUCUGGACAGCACUCCCCCACCCUUGCUGGCCAUUUGCCAAGGACACCAAAACCCAAGGAUGUUGAAUUCCCUUUUAUAAAAUGGCGCUGUAUCUGCAUACAACUUACACACAUCCUCCCAUAUACUUUAAAUC